RNAcentral lists this ribosomal RNA (487 nucleotides) under uncultured Curtobacterium sp. RNAcentral describes it as "partial 16S ribosomal RNA". Lineage: Bacteria; Bacillati; Actinomycetota; Actinomycetes; Micrococcales; Microbacteriaceae. The record is from RNAcentral.
CACGUAGUUAGCCGGUGCUUUUUCUGCAGGUACCGUCACUUUCGCUUCUUCCCUACUAAAAGAGGUUUACACCCGAAGGCCGUCAUCCCUCACGCGGCGUUGCUGCAUCAGGCUUUCGCCCAUUGUGCAAUAUUCCCCACUGCUGCCUCCCGUAGGAGUCUGGGCCGUGUCUCAGUCCCAGUGUGGCCGGUCACCCUCUCAGGCCGGCUACUCGUCGUCGCCUUGGUGAGCCAUUACCUCACCAACAAGCUGAUAGGCCGCGAGUCCAUCCCCAACCAAAAAACUCUUUCCACCACCAGACCAUGCGGCCGGCAGUCAUAUCCAGUAUUAGACGUCGUUUCCAACGCUUAUCCCAGAGUCAGGGGCAGGUUACUCACGUGUUACUCACCCGUUCGCCACUAAUCCACCCAGCAAGCUGGGCAUCAUCGUUCGACUUGCAUGUGUUAAGCACGCCGCCAGCGUCGUCUCGAGCCACGAGUCGAACUAC